This 275-nucleotide ribosomal RNA is filed under the name uncultured bacterium. Its description in RNAcentral is "partial 16S ribosomal RNA". It matches the Rfam family "Bacterial small subunit ribosomal RNA", at positions 399 to 691 of the family's 1533-position model. The record is from RNAcentral.
GCGUGAGUGAUGACGGCCUUAGGGUUGUAAAGCUCUUUCGCACGCGACGAUAAUGACGGUAGCGUGAGAAGAAGCCCCGGCUAACUUCGUGCCAGCAGCCGCGGUAAUACGAAGGGGGCUAGCGUUGUUCGGAUUAACUGGGCGUAAAGGGUGCGUAGGCGGGGUUUUAAGUCAGGGGUGAAAUGCCGAGGCUCAACUUCGGAACUGCCUUUGAUACUGGAACUCUUGAGUCUGGGAGAGGUGAGUGGAACUGCGAGUGUAGAGGUGAAAUUCGU